AGAUGAAGUGUGGCAUGCCCUUAUUGUUGCUAUAAGCAAUGCUUCUGAUCUCCAUGGAUAUACAGUCAGGGCUUUAUACAGAUCAUUUCAAACUUCAGCUGAACAGGAAACCCUUGUUCGAGUUGCAGUAUGGUGCAUUGGAGAAUAUGGUGACAUGUUGGUGAACAAUGUUGGGGUGCUUGACAUAGAGGAUCCUAUAAAAACUGUCACAGAGUCUAAUGCUGUGGAUGUUGUUGAGAUUGCUAUAAAGCGUCAUGCCUCUGAUCUCACUACUAAAGCAAUGGCUUUGAUUGCUUUAGUGAAGCUCUCUUCCCGGUUCCCAUCUUGCUCAGGGAGGAUCAAGGAUAUAAUUGUUCAAUAUAAAGGAAGCUUUGUUCUUGAAUUGCAGCAAAGAUCCCUAGAGUUCAAUUCUAUUAUUGAGAAGCAUCAGAAUAU
RNAcentral lists this unclassified non-coding RNA (435 nucleotides) under Hevea brasiliensis (rubber tree). Lineage: Eukaryota; Viridiplantae; Streptophyta; Magnoliopsida; Malpighiales; Euphorbiaceae. The record is from RNAcentral.